This 300-nucleotide ribosomal RNA is filed under the name uncultured Flavobacteriaceae bacterium. RNAcentral's name for it is "bacterial SSU rRNA". It matches the Rfam family "Bacterial small subunit ribosomal RNA", at positions 115 to 409 of the family's 1533-position model. Lineage: Bacteria; Pseudomonadati; Bacteroidota; Flavobacteriia; Flavobacteriales; Flavobacteriaceae. The record is from RNAcentral.
GCGUAUACAAUUUGCCUUUUACUGGAGGAUAGCCCAGAGAAAUUUGGAUUAAUACUCCAUAGUAUUAUUUAAUCACCUGACUGAGUAAUUAAAGUUCCGGCGGUAAAAGAUGAGUAUGCGUCCUAUUAGCUAGAUGGUAAGGUAACGGCUUACCAUGGCGACGAUAGGUAGGGGUCCUGAGAGGGAGAUCCCCCACACUGGUACGUGAGACACGGACCAGACUCCUACGGGAGGGCAGCAGUGAGGAAUAUUGGGCGAAUAGGAGGGCAACUCUGACCCACGCCAUGCCGCGUGCAGGAA